Molecule: long non-coding RNA, 1103 nt
Organism: Puntigrus tetrazona (Sumatra barb)
Lineage: Eukaryota; Metazoa; Chordata; Actinopteri; Cypriniformes; Cyprinidae
Exons: 3
Source: RefSeq, a predicted model, not a curated record
ACCAAUUGAUGCUAUCGAGCUCAGAGUGAAGGACCGAGCAGCUAAUUACCGUCUGCGGCGGUCAAACACUGGAAGACAACAACACCUGUAGGAGCACCGCGGAACACCCGCCCUCUAGUGCCCGCUAAAUAAGCUGCUUUAACGGCAACGCGCUCUCAAAAACACGGGGGCUAGUUGUCACUUUGCACUCCGGUAGAUAUUUCCCAAGGUGCGUGCCGUGCGCUGGAAACACACUCAUGAGCUAAUUCGAGGCAAAGUAAAGCUCUCAUCUGGGAUUGGUAAGAGUCUCUCCAAGCACCCCAAAGACUUCCAGCUCAUUCUUGAUUGCACAUGGCAGCCUCUGACCUGCACCGAAGGCACCCGCUGCCAUGGAAGAUUGAUGAUUAUCGAUGCAGAAACCCUUUGCUAAUUCAGCGUACAAGGAACUGCGUUUUUAGAAGAAAAAACCCCCAGCCAUGUUGAAGUGGGGAGUUGAUUUAUACACAAACGUUCUUUUAAGUCAAUGAUCAAUCAGAGUCUCUAGCUGCAACUGGACAUUAUCAAGCGCUGGGUCCCCAGUAUCAGAGAACUUACAGAGAAUGAUGGGACUGAUCAGACGUAGUGUUGGGAGGCCUUGACCUUUGUCUCCUUUUAUAAAUCAUGGAGGAAGUUGCGCUUGAUCCCAGUGUUUUCCAGCACCUGCAAAAUGUCAACCUGUUUAGAUUUGAAGCAGAGACACUGAUAGGACCAUCUGGACCUUCACUCAUGACAUCCAGCCACAGUCUGUGUUCACGGCCAGCACACUCAGAAAAUGGAUCAGCCAAGACCUCAUUUGUAACUUUUUGACUAGCACAAGGUGAAAGACCCACUCAAAAAAAGAAGAAAAAGAAAAGAAUCAAACCUCACCCACCAUGUAGUAAAAAGAUACUCGCCUGCUGUAAAUAUUAUUUCGGAGACUUUUUUCCACUUGUCAAAACAAAGAUCUACAAUUGCUGUCAGGCUUAAUCUUCAGUUGAUUGUCCUAAACACAUUAACACAUUCUUGCCUCCUACUCUCAUCUGGGAAAACGCCUCUCAGUAAAAGUGUUUUUUUUUUUUUUUUUUGGUCAGUUGCGUUCCUACGAA